This 501-nucleotide ribosomal RNA is filed under the name uncultured bacterium. Its description in RNAcentral is "partial 16S ribosomal RNA". It matches the Rfam family "Bacterial small subunit ribosomal RNA", at positions 30 to 523 of the family's 1533-position model. The record is from RNAcentral.
AUUGAACGCUGGCGGCAGGCUUAACACAUGCAAGUCGAGCGGAGAUGAGGUGCUUGCACCUUGUCUUAGCGGCGGACGGGUGAGUAAUGCUUAGGAAUCUGCCUAUUAGUGGGGGACAACAUUCCGAAAGGAAUGCUAAUACCGCAUACGUCCUACGGGAGAAAGCAGGGGAUCUUCGGACCUUGCGCUAAUAGAUGAGCCUAAGUCGGAUUAGCUAGUUGGUGGGGUAAAGGCCUACCAAGGCGACGAUCUGUAGCGGGUCUGAGAGGAUGAUCCGCCACACUGGGACUGAGACACGGCCCAGACUCCUACGGGGGGCAGCAGUGGGGAAUAUUGGACAAUGGGGGAAACCCUGAUCUAGCCAUGCCGCGUGUGUGAAGAAGGCCCUAUGGUUGUAAAGCACUUUAAGCGAGGAGGAGGCUACUGAGACUAAUACUCUUGGAUAGUGGACGUUACUCGCAGAAUAAGCACCGGCUAACUCCGUGCCAGCCGCCGCCGUAA